Non-coding RNA from Cyanothece sp., 79 nucleotides. NCBI's taxonomy places the organism in Bacteria, Bacillati, Cyanobacteriota, Cyanophyceae, Gomontiellales, Cyanothecaceae. The record is from Rfam.
AGGAGCCGUAUGAGCGGGAAACUCUCACGUGCGGUUCUGAAGGAGAGGUGAAGGUUGGUGACUUCCUCAUCGACUCUAA